GGCGCCAUAGCCAAGCGGUAAGGCACGGGUCUGCAAAACCCUGAUCGGGGGUUCGAAUCCCCCUGGCGCCUCCA
RNAcentral lists this transfer RNA (74 nucleotides) under Anaerolineales bacterium. RNAcentral's name for it is "tRNA-Cys". It matches the Rfam family "tRNA". Rfam says of the family: Transfer RNA (tRNA) molecules are approximately 80 nucleotides in length. Their secondary structure includes four short double-helical elements and three loops (D, anti-codon, and T loops). The record is from RNAcentral. Lineage: Bacteria; Bacillati; Chloroflexota; Anaerolineae; Anaerolineales. RNAcentral also lists the same sequence under 1 other name.